RNAcentral lists this ribosomal RNA (301 nucleotides) under uncultured bacterium. RNAcentral's name for it is "partial 16S ribosomal RNA". It matches the Rfam family "Bacterial small subunit ribosomal RNA", at positions 509 to 807 of the family's 1533-position model. The record is from RNAcentral.
CAGUCGCCGCGGUAACACGUAGGUGGCAAGCGUUGUCCGGAAUUAUUGGGCGUAAAGGGCUCGCAGGCGGUUUCUUAAGUCUGAUGUGAAAGCCCCCGGCUCAACCGGGGAGGGUCAUUGGAAACUGGGAAACUUGAGUGCAGAAGAGGAGAGUGGAAUUCCACGUAUAGCGGUGAAAUGCGUAGAGAUGUAGAGGAACACCAGUGGCGAAGGCGACCCUCUGGUCUGUAACUGACGCUGAGGAGCGAAAGCGUGGGGAGCGAACAGGAUUAGAGACCCCCGUAGUCCCUGUCUCUUAUAC